This 253-nucleotide ribosomal RNA is filed under the name uncultured bacterium. Its description in RNAcentral is "partial 16S ribosomal RNA". It matches the Rfam family "Bacterial small subunit ribosomal RNA", at positions 524 to 776 of the family's 1533-position model. The record is from RNAcentral.
UACGAAGGGGGCUAGCGUUGUUCGGAAUCAUUGGGCGUAAAGCGCGUGUAGGCGGCUCGGUAAGUCCGCUGUGAAAGUCGGGGGCUCAACCCUCGAAUGCCGGUGGAUACUGUCGGGCUAGAGUGCGGAAGAGGCGAGUGGAAUUCCUGGUGUAGCGGUGAAAUGCGCAGAUAUCAGGAGGAACACCAAUUGCGAAGGCAGCUCGCUGGGACGUAACUGACGCUGAGACGCGAAAGCGUGGGGAGCAAACAGG